AAUUGAAGAAAAAGGCACACAACUUGCAACUAGUAUUUCAACUCUUGAUUAGAACGUUUCGGCCAGGGGGGGAAUUGUCUCUAGGGCCAAUCGCUGUACGGUCUUAUGUCCUAAUAUGACGUCACGCGCUAUUUCGYGAAGAAGUCCUCGUGUGGAGAAUGGCUUCAAAGUGUUUGAUCUACAAAAUAUGCAUGUUUUUAGAGAAAGUGAACUUCGAACUUAACAAAUAAUGUAGAGGAAGUCUCUGAGUAUUGUAUUUUGGAAACAAAUAUAUGGAAUUUAUACUCUACUAUUAAAUUUUAUGGGAAAGAAGACAGUUAGUCCGAAACAAAAUGGCGGAAAUUUUCAUUGCUCGRAAACAUAAAUGUGGUGAUAUUUUGAGAUCUACGCAAGAAAUCGUCACCAAAGGAGGAAGAUUUCUAAAGUAAAGUCGGAGGDUUUUGGAAUUGUAUACAUCAAGCUUGUCGGAUCAGAGGAACUUCGUUUCUUUUGCUUUGAACACCAAGAGUGAUGAACAUGGAACAUGGAACAACCUGUGUAUUGAACUUGUGCUACUAUCUUACGUCACAUGGAAAACAUUGGUCCUAAAAGUUUACAAUAUAUUGCAAACACUAGUUCAGUGCUAGGUAUGCAUGUCAGCAAUCCUGCAGGAAUGUAAGUGAAUAACAGUAGCAGRGUUAUCUAGUUUGUUCUGCCUAAGUCACCUUCCACCRUCAACUAAUGGCUUAGACAGUAAAGUACAUGUAACUUGAUCAUGGUCUUGCUGUCUAAUUUGAGAAUACUAUUGAAAAGAUGAGCAUUCAGAAGAUUGCCAGUCAGUUAAUUUUUUCUUUACAGUCCUGUUCAUUGAAAUAAUUUAUGUAUUUCUGAAAAUGUGAGACAUGACAAUUCAUAGCAAAGUGGUAAAACAGUUGAGUUAAAGAAAUGUAAUUAAAAUAUUUUAAGUUGACUAGAAAACAGCUAAUUGAAGAUGUAUGUUCUACUGUAGGUAUGCUUGUGUUCUCCAUCUCCCACCGUGUUAAUCUUUCCUAUUAAGUUCCCUACAUAAACUCUUUUGCUUGUU
Long non-coding RNA from Exaiptasia diaphana, 1063 nucleotides. RefSeq lists it as uncharacterized. The transcript is spliced from 2 exons. NCBI's taxonomy places the organism in Eukaryota, Metazoa, Cnidaria, Anthozoa, Actiniaria, Aiptasiidae. The record is from RefSeq and is a predicted model, not a curated record.